RNAcentral lists this transfer RNA (70 nucleotides) under Schistocephalus solidus. It matches the Rfam family "tRNA". Rfam says of the family: Transfer RNA (tRNA) molecules are approximately 80 nucleotides in length. Their secondary structure includes four short double-helical elements and three loops (D, anti-codon, and T loops). The record is from Rfam by way of RNAcentral. Lineage: Eukaryota; Metazoa; Platyhelminthes; Cestoda; Diphyllobothriidea; Diphyllobothriidae.
GCCAAUAGCUUAAUGGUAGAGCGUUCGACUCAAUAACAAAUGGUCGCGGGUUCGAAUCCCAGGUUUGGCA